Molecule: ribosomal RNA, 415 nt
Filed under: uncultured crenarchaeote
Lineage: Archaea; Thermoproteati; Thermoproteota
Description: partial 16S ribosomal RNA
Rfam family: Archaeal small subunit ribosomal RNA
Source: RNAcentral
GUGCACCAGUCGCGAAAACUUGUCAAUGCACGAAAGUGUGAACGGGCUACCCCGAGUGCCGUCCGCUGAGGAUGGCUUUUCUCUGCUGUAAGAAGGCAGAGGAAUAAGGAGAGGGCAAGUCUGGUGUCAGCCGCCGCGGUAAUACCAGCUCUCCGAGUGGUAGGGAUGAUUAUUGGGCUUAAAGCGUCCGUAGCUGGCCUUUCAAGUCUCUUGUUAAAUCCAGCGAUUCAAUCGUUGGACUGCGGGAGAUACUGUUAGGCUAGGGGGCGGGAGAAGCCGACGGUAUUUCCGGGGUAGGGGUAAAAUCCUAUAAUUCCGGGAAGACCACCAGUGGCGUAGGCGGUCGGCUAGCACGCGCUCGACGGUGAGGGACGAAAGCCAGGGGCGCAAACGGGAUUAGAUACCCCUGUAGUCC